UACGUAGGGGCUAGCGUUAUCCGGAUUUACUGGGCGUAAAGGGUGCGUAGGCGGUCUUUCAAGUCAGGAGUGAAAGGCUACGGCUCAACCGUAGUAAGCUCUUGAAACUGUAAGACUUGAGUGCAGGAGAGGAGAGUGGAAUUCCUAGUGUAGCGGUGAAAUGCGUAGGUAUUAGGAGGAACACCCGUUGCGAAGGCGGCUCUCUGGACUGUAACUGACGCUGAGGCACGAAAGCGUGGGGAGCAAACAGGAUUAGAUACCCCGGUAGUCCCUGAGCGGG
This 280-nucleotide ribosomal RNA is filed under the name uncultured prokaryote. RNAcentral describes it as "partial 16S ribosomal RNA". It matches the Rfam family "Bacterial small subunit ribosomal RNA", at positions 524 to 803 of the family's 1533-position model. The record is from RNAcentral.